Molecule: long non-coding RNA, 607 nt
Filed under: Dromaius novaehollandiae (emu)
Lineage: Eukaryota; Metazoa; Chordata; Aves; Casuariiformes; Dromaiidae
Description: lncRNA (ENSDNVG00000004792.1)
Source: RNAcentral
UUCUGUUAGUAUAAACUCCACCUAUUAAUCAAUAAUCUCUUUUUUUAGUUAAUGUUUAACUGAAAGAGGACUAAGACUUCAGACUAGCUGGAGAUCUGACACACUGAAAUCUUUUCUUAACCUUGCUAUGAACGUUUACAGGUUGGUUUAGGCUCUUAGUUUUUCAAAAAGAUCUGCUCUGAACAGAAGGAGUAGGCCAUUUUUCUCUUAUUUUAGUUUUGGUCUGUAAUUGGGAAUCAACCUGCCAGUAUAAAUUUUCUCUUUUUUCAAGAGCCAACUACGUGAGCCAUUUCUGUGGUACCCUGCGCUUACGGACUUCCUUGGGGGACAUCUCUACGAAACUGGGCGACCGAGCCCUAGCGCUGUCCGGAUGAGAGCAUGCCCCCAUCGACACCCGGGUCGCUGGCGAGAAGAUGGCCCUGCGGCUCUGAACCCUGCCGAGGGCCCGUGCCCUGCCCACAGCACCAGCGGCAGAGCGGAGAGAGAGGAUCGGAAAUGCUGCACAGCUGCAGUAUGAAACAUACCAUAUUUGCAAAACAGAGCUUGACGUGUCUGCAUAACUCAUUGCUGUGGAAAGAGUCAUCAGGAUGAUGUAUUGAAACACAGC